This 402-nucleotide ribosomal RNA is filed under the name uncultured bacterium. RNAcentral's name for it is "bacterial SSU rRNA". It matches the Rfam family "Bacterial small subunit ribosomal RNA", at positions 355 to 774 of the family's 1533-position model. The record is from RNAcentral.
UGGGGAAUAUUGCACAAUGGGGGAAACACUGAUGCAGCAACGCCGCGUGAGUGAUGACGGCCUUCGGGUUGUAAAGCUCUGGCUUCAGGGACGAUAAUGACGGUACCUGAGGAGGAAGCCACGGCUAACUACGUGCCAGCAGCCGCGGUAAUACGUAGGUGGCAAGCGUUGUCCGGAUUUACUGGGCGUAAAGGGAGCGUAGGCGGACUUUUAAGUGAGAUGUGAAAUACCCGGGCUCAACCUGGGUGCUGCAUUUCAAACUGGAAGUCUAGAGUGCAGGAGAGGAGAGUGGAAUUCCUAGUGUAGCGGUGAAAUGCGUAGAGAUUAGGAAGAACACCAGUGGCGAAGGCGACUCUCUGGACUGUAACUGACGCUGAGGCUCGAAAGCGUGGGGAGCAAACA